RNAcentral lists this transfer RNA (82 nucleotides) under Cryptomonas curvata. Its description in RNAcentral is "tRNA-Ser". It matches the Rfam family "tRNA". Rfam says of the family: Transfer RNA (tRNA) molecules are approximately 80 nucleotides in length. Their secondary structure includes four short double-helical elements and three loops (D, anti-codon, and T loops). Further hydrogen bonds mediate the characteristic L-shaped molecular structure. tRNAs have two regions of fundamental functional importance: the anti-codon, which is responsible for specific mRNA codon recognition, and the 3' end, to which the tRNAs corresponding amino acid is attached (by aminoacyl-tRNA synthetases). tRNAs cope with the degeneracy of the genetic code in two manners: having more than one tRNA (with a specific anti-codon) for a particular amino acid; and 'wobble' base-pairing, i.e. permitting non-standard base-pairing at the 3rd anti-codon position. Lineage: Eukaryota; Cryptophyceae; Cryptomonadales; Cryptomonadaceae. The record is from RNAcentral.
GUAACGGUGGCCGAGUGGUCAAGGCGCUAGCCUGCUAAGUUAGUGGGUUUUACCUGCGCGAGUUCGAAUCUCGCUCGUUACG